UAACGCGUGAGGAACCUGCCUUUCGGAGGGGGACAACAGUUGGAAACGACUGCUAAUACCGCAUGAUACAUCGAAGCCGCAUGGCUUUGAUGUCAAAGAUUUAUCGCCGAAAGAUGGCCUCGCGUCUGAUUAGCUUGUUGGUGAGGUAACGGCUCGCCAAGGCGACGAUCAGUAGCCGGACUGAGAGGUUGGCCGGCCACAUUGGGACUGAGAUACGGCCCAGACUCCUACGGGAGGCAGCAG
RNAcentral lists this ribosomal RNA (243 nucleotides) under uncultured bacterium. RNAcentral describes it as "partial 16S ribosomal RNA". It matches the Rfam family "Bacterial small subunit ribosomal RNA", at positions 111 to 354 of the family's 1533-position model. The record is from RNAcentral.